UGAGGAAUAUUGGUCAAUGGACGAGAGUCUGAACCAGCCAAGUAGCGUGAAGGAAGAAGGCGCCAGGCGUCGUAAACUUCUUUUGUCGGGGAACAAAGGGCGCCACGCGUGGCGUUGUGAGUGUACCCGAAGAAAAAGCAUCGGCUAACUCCGUGCCAGCAGCCGCGGUAAUACGGAGGAUCCGAGCGUUAUCCGGAUUUAUUGGGUUUAAAGGGAGCGUAGAUGGGUUGUUAAGUCAGUUGUGAAAGUUUGCGGCUCAACCGUAAAAUUGCAAUUGAUACUGGCAGCCUUGAGUACAGUUGAGGUAGGCGGAAUUCGUGGUGUAGCGGUGAAAUGCUUAGAUAUCACGAAGAACUCCGAUUGCGAAGGCAGCAUACCGGCGCCCAACUGACGCUGAAGCACGAAAGCGUGGGUAUCGAACAGG
Molecule: ribosomal RNA, 424 nt
Filed under: uncultured bacterium
Lineage: Bacteria
Description: bacterial SSU rRNA
Rfam family: Bacterial small subunit ribosomal RNA
Source: RNAcentral